UACGUAGGGGGCAAGCGUUGUCCGGAUUUAUUGGGCGUAAAGAGCGUGUAGGCGGCCAGACAGGUCAGCUGUGAAAACUCGAGGCUCAACCUCGAGACGUCGGUUGAAACCGUCUGGCUAGAGUCCGGAAGAGGAGAGUGGAAUUCCCGGUCGUAGCGGUGAAAUGCGCAGAUAUCGGGAAGAACACCCGUGGCGAAGGCGGCUCUCUGGGACGGUACUGACGCUGAGACGCGAAAGCGUGGGGAGCGAACAGGAUUG
Molecule: ribosomal RNA, 258 nt
Filed under: uncultured bacterium
Lineage: Bacteria
Description: partial 16S ribosomal RNA
Rfam family: Bacterial small subunit ribosomal RNA
Source: RNAcentral